Molecule: ribosomal RNA, 497 nt
Filed under: uncultured bacterium
Lineage: Bacteria
Description: partial 16S ribosomal RNA
Rfam family: Bacterial small subunit ribosomal RNA
Source: RNAcentral
GAUGAACGCUGGCGGCGUGCCUAAUACAUGCAAGUCGAGCGAACGGACGAGAAGCUUGCUUCUCUGAUGUUAGCGGCGGACGGGUGAGUAACACGUGGAUAACCUACCUAUAAGACUGGGAUAACUUCGGGAAACCGGAGCUAAUACCGGAUAAUAUUUUGAACCGCAUGGUUCAAAAGUGAAAGACGGUCUUGCUGUCACUUAUAGAUGGAUCCGCGCUGCAUUAGCUAGUUGGUAAGGUAACGGCUUACCAAGGCAACGAUGCAUAGCCGACCUGAGAGGGUGAUCGGCCACACUGGAGCUGAGACACGGUCCAGACUCCUACGGGAGGCAGCAGUAGGGAAUCUUCCGCAAUGGGCGAAAGCCUGACGGAGCAACGCCGCGUGAGUGAUGAAGGUCUUCGGAUCGUAAAACUCUGUUAUUAGGGAAGAACAUAUGUGUAGGUAACUGUGCACAUCUUGACGGUACCUAAUCAGAAAGCCACGGCUAACUACGUG